This 468-nucleotide ribosomal RNA is filed under the name uncultured bacterium. RNAcentral's name for it is "partial 16S ribosomal RNA". It matches the Rfam family "Bacterial small subunit ribosomal RNA", at positions 28 to 507 of the family's 1533-position model. The record is from RNAcentral.
GACGAACGCUGGCGGCGUGCUUAACACAUGCAAGUCGAACGGAAAGGCCCUGCUUUUGUGGGGUGCUCGAGGGGCGAAGGGGGGCGUAACACGUGAGUAACCUGCCCUUGACUUUGGGAUAACUUCAGGAAACUGGGGCUAAUACCGGAUAGCAGCUCCUGCUGCAUGGUGGGGGUUGGAAAGUUUCGGCGGUUGGGGAUGGACUCGCGGCUUAUCAGCUUGUUGGUGGGGUAGUGGCUUACCAAGGGUUUGACGGGUAGCCGGCCUGAGAGGGUGACCGGCCACAUUGGGACUGAGAUACGGCCCAGACUCCUACGGGAGACAGCAGUGGGGAAUAUUGCACAAUGGGACGAAGCCUGAGGCAGCAACGCCGCGGGCGGGAUGACGGCCUGCGGGUUGUGAACCGCUUUCGCCUGUGACGAAGCUUGAGUGACGGUAAUGGGUAAAGAAGCACCGGCUAACUACGUG